UACGAAGGGGGCUAGCGUUGCUCGGAAUUACUGGGCGUAAAGCGCACGUAGGCGGAUAUUUAAGUCAGGGGUGAAAUCCCAGAGCUCAACUCUGGAACUGCCUUUGAUACUGGGUAUCUCGAGUAUGGAAGAGGUGAGUGGAAUUCCGAGUGUAGAGGUGAAAUUCGUAGAUAUUCGGAGAACACCAGUGGCGAAGGCGGCUCACUGGCCGNUAUGACGCUGAGGUGCGAAAGCGUGGGGGAGC
This 244-nucleotide ribosomal RNA is filed under the name uncultured bacterium. RNAcentral describes it as "partial 16S ribosomal RNA". It matches the Rfam family "Bacterial small subunit ribosomal RNA", at positions 524 to 769 of the family's 1533-position model. The record is from RNAcentral.